This 399-nucleotide ribosomal RNA is filed under the name uncultured bacterium. RNAcentral's name for it is "partial 16S ribosomal RNA". It matches the Rfam family "Bacterial small subunit ribosomal RNA", at positions 361 to 774 of the family's 1533-position model. The record is from RNAcentral.
AUUUUGGACAAUGGGGGAAACCCUGAUCCAGCCAUGCCGCGUGUGUGAAGAAGGUCUUCGGAUCGUAAAGCUCUGUCUUUGGGGACGAAGGAAGUGACGGUACCCAAGGAGGAAGCCCCGGCUAACUACGUGCCAGCAGCCGCGGUAACACGUAGGGGGCAAGCGUUUUCCGGAAUUACUGGGAGUAAAGGGAUCGUAGGCGGUAUAUUAAGUCAGGUGUGAAACCCCACGGCUCAACUGUGGGCUUGCACAUGAAACUGGUAUGCUUGAGUACAGGAGAGGAAAGCGGAAUUCCUAGUGUAGUGGUGAAAUGCGUAGAUAUUAGGAAGAACACCAGUGGCGAAGGCGGCUUUCUGGACUGUAACUGACGCUGAGGCACGAAAGCGUGGGGAGCAAACA